RNAcentral lists this small RNA (67 nucleotides) under Arabidopsis thaliana (thale cress). RNAcentral's name for it is "ATSL199430". The record is from RNAcentral. Lineage: Eukaryota; Viridiplantae; Streptophyta; Magnoliopsida; Brassicales; Brassicaceae.
AUAGCUUCUCAAAGCUUUAAUAGUGUAGCCGAAGUCCGUAUGAGUCUUUGGCUUUGUAUUUUCUAAU